CUGAUAUACAGUUUUUGCUGCUCGUUUUAUUGUCGAUUCCAACUGCAUCGAUGCAUCUUUAACAAGCAUACCACGAACCAGAGCAGCAACCAAGUUGACCUUCUUUGGACUCUAAAAUACCAUAGAAAACAAGGUAUGUAAAAUGUGCAACUAGUCAGAUAUUAAUCAGAUCCUUCUUAAACCAUAAAUUAAGACAUUUUCCACAGCAAGCCAGGGAAGGCAUUUCAAUGGCUAAAAAAUUAGAUGCCAACUUUUCUGCAAAAUAACAUGUUGGUUAAAACACAGAAGUUUCUUAGCAAGUAGCUAGGCAGUGGCACCACAUAAAUGUAACAAAACAUUGUAAUUUUUCAAUAUUUAUGUUAUUGCUAAGCUGAACAUACUUGUGAUGAUACUUAUGUUCACUUUAGCAUGCAUACUAGAAAUGUGAUUAGCAAGUUAAAAUUAAAUAACUGGCUGGCCUGCUCUCAACAAUGCCCAAGUCUAACUAACUAGUUCCAACUCAUCAUUACUCACUAACUCCUGCUAACCAGCUUCCUGAUCUGUCUUUUUCCUGACCAACUCUUAUGUUGUCUACUCCAUGACUGAACCAUGUGUCCUAACAUGGCCCUUUCUUGGAGCUACAGCCUUGUCCUUAAGGAUCAAAGAAGGAAACUGGCUACAUCGCACAAAUUCAUCCUCCCACAUUGUGAUUAAUUUUCCCUUCCUCUUUUCCAGCCUUUGUUGAAUCUUGUCUCUCCUAAAUAACUUGUCUGCUAACCAUUACCAUUACAUAUUCUGGCCCCACUUCAUCCUCCCACAUUGUGAUUAAUUUUCCCUUCCUCUUUCCCACAUUGAGGAAGGCACAAUUUAAUUAUGAAUAUUUUUUUUUUGGAAGGCAGAAAAUAUAUAGUAUUAAUAUAAACAUAUCAGUACCAGAGGUACGGAUGAAAGAUGAACAAAUACAAGACACCUAUGGUGCCGCCCUCCAAAAAAGAGAAGAACCCAACCAAGACCCCACCACAGAAGAUACAGGAAACCCAACCCAACUUAACCAAAAGACUUUGAAAGAUUGGUAGACCAGUGGUUAAAAAGAGUGUUGAAAUCUUUCUCUCUAGCUUUUAACCAAGACCAAGCUAGAAAUAAAGCAUCAUCCAUCACUUUGGAUGAGCACUAUAUGGCAGCAUAGGAAUUUAAUUAUGAAUAUUAUAAUGCAUAUUUAGUGAUUAACAUAAAUGAAUUUUGAAUGUGCAGUGAACGUAUCCUUUUUCAUUAGCAUAAUAGACACUCUUAAAAAAAACCAUUAUACAAUUCAAAACUACAACAUAAUAAGAACAAACAACAUUAUGCUCCCUUUGUUCUAAUUUUUAUACCACCAUACGGAAUACUGAUACAAAAGCUGAGGAACAAGAGAGAACACAAACCAGAGGUCCAAAUACAGAAGCCAGGGGUGCAGAUAAAAGGAAAAUCAAAGAUGGCCAGGGGUACACCAUAAGACUAUGUAUAAGAAAGAAAGGGAGAAAGGAAGCUGACCUGGAAUGAAGAAUUGCUAGAUGGUUGAUGGUCCUGCCUUAGGGAGACAAGCUUACCCAUAAAUUGUUAGCCAAAGGUUGUGACCGGAAAACACUGUUAUUUCAUUUGUAACAAGCUAGGCAUGAUUAAUAUUUAUGCUCAAACUUGGGAUUUGGGAACAAUGUUAAAGAGUUAUUAUGGAUUGAGUUAGAAUUAGACUAUUGAAAGUAUAUGGGCUUGGCCCAAAUAUAGUUUGCACUGCAUUGUAUUUAAAUCUUAAAAUAUUAGCAUAUAAUACAAAAAAAUACAACAAUAACGAAAAUAGCCUUUUGAGCAUUAACAUUUAACCAGACCCAAGAAAAAGAAAAUGCAAAAGACAAAUAUCAACUAAAGAAACAUGUCAAACAAAUAUUGGCAUUCAGGGAAGUAACAACUAGUUGCAAGUAAAACUUACAUAUUCUUAGGAAAGAAAUGAGCUUGUACCCUUGGAAUAGAUCUAUCUUCUACCAAAUUGGGUUUUUUGAGGGCAGCUCUAGUGCAUUUGGAUUUCCAUGUGUCAAUCGUAGACCAGACAUGACACAUAACCCACACCGUAGGAAAUAACAUCAAGCAUAAAUACAGGAGGGAGUAGAUGUUUUUAUUUUUUCAGAACCCAAGAAGAAGAUAAGGAUCCUCUAGAUUAUAGGAAACAAAGAGAAAGGCCCAACCAAACCAUAAUGAAAGAUUCCCUUUUUUCAUUCACAAAGGUGUAAAAACUGAUACAAAAAAGAAUUGACCAUUUAACUUUAAAUAUUCCAAAUUACAUGAAAAAUGAUAGAAGCAGGGAAUGAUGGUAAAUAAAACAACAAAACAGAAAAGAUAUCAAAAAGGCA
This 2360-nucleotide long non-coding RNA is filed under the name Glycine max (soybean). RNAcentral's name for it is "long non-coding RNA (GMAX_LNC001887)". The record is from RNAcentral. Lineage: Eukaryota; Viridiplantae; Streptophyta; Magnoliopsida; Fabales; Fabaceae.